AGAAUCAACGCUGGCGGCGUGCCUAACACAUGCAAGUCGAACGAGAAGGUGGUAGCAAUACCAUGAGUAAAGUGGCGCACGGGUGAGUAACACGUGACUAACCUACCCUUGAGUGGGGGAUAACUGAGGGAAACCUUAGCUAAUACCGCAUAAUACCCACGGGUCAAAGGAGCAAUUCGCUCGAGGAGGGGGUCGCGGCCGAUUAGUUAGUUGGCGUGGUAAUGGCCCACCAAGACGAUGAUCGGUA
RNAcentral lists this ribosomal RNA (247 nucleotides) under uncultured bacterium. RNAcentral's name for it is "partial small subunit ribosomal RNA". It matches the Rfam family "Bacterial small subunit ribosomal RNA", at positions 26 to 285 of the family's 1533-position model. The record is from RNAcentral.